GACGAACGCUGGCGGCGUGCUUAACACAUGCAAGUCGAGCGGUAAGGCCCUUUCGGGGGUACACGAGCGGCGAACGGGUGAGUAACACGUGGGUGACCUGCCCUCAGCUCUGGGAUAAGCCUGGGAAACCGGGUCUAAUACCGGAUAUGACUCCAUGACGCAUGUUGUGGGGUGGAAAGCCUUGUGCGGCUGAGGAUGGGCCCGCGGCCUAUCAGCUUGUUGGUGGGGUGANGGCCUACCAAGGCGACGACGGGUAGCCGGCCUGAGAGGGCGACCGGCCACACUGGGACUGAGACACGGCCCAGACUCCUACGGGAGGCAGCAGUGGGGAAUCUUGCGCAAUGGGCGAAAGCCCUGACGCAGCGACGCCGCGUGAGGGAUGACGGCCUGGUUGUAAC
Molecule: ribosomal RNA, 398 nt
Filed under: uncultured bacterium
Lineage: Bacteria
Description: bacterial SSU rRNA
Rfam family: Bacterial small subunit ribosomal RNA
Source: RNAcentral